Molecule: ribosomal RNA, 405 nt
Filed under: uncultured bacterium
Lineage: Bacteria
Description: bacterial SSU rRNA
Rfam family: Bacterial small subunit ribosomal RNA
Source: RNAcentral
GGGGAAUAUUGCACAAUGGGCGCAAGCCUGAUGCAGCGACGCCGCGUGAGGGAUGACGGCCUUCGGGUUGUAAACCUCUCUCAGUGCCGACGAAGCGGAAGUGACGGUAGGCACAGAAGAAGGACCGGCCAACUACGUGCCAGCAGCCGCGGUAAUACGUAGGGUCCGAGCGUUGUCCGGAAUUACUGGGCGUAAAGAGCUCGUAGGUGGUUUGUCGCGUUGUCCGUGAAAACUCACAGCUUAACUGUGGGCGUGCGGGCGAUACGGGCAGACUAGAGUACUGCAGGGGAGACUGGAAUUCCUGGUGUAGCGGUGGAAUGCGCAGAUAUCAGGAGGAACACCGGUGGCGAAGGCGGGUCUCUGGGCAGUAACUGACGCUGAGGAGCGAAAGCGUGGGGAGCGAAC